RNAcentral lists this ribosomal RNA (186 nucleotides) under uncultured bacterium. RNAcentral's name for it is "partial 16S ribosomal RNA". It matches the Rfam family "Bacterial small subunit ribosomal RNA", at positions 1315 to 1500 of the family's 1533-position model. The record is from RNAcentral.
CCUGCAUGAAGUCGGAAUUGCUAGUAAUCGUAGGUCAGCAUACUACGGUGAAUACGUUCCCGGGCCUUGUACACACCGCCCGUCAAACCAUGAGAGUUGGCAACACCCGAAGUCGGUAGUCUAACCGCAAGGAGGACGCCGCCGAAGGUGGGGUUGAUGAUUAGGGUUAAGUCGUAACAAGGUAUC